UACGGUGACCAUGGCGAGCGGGAAACGCCCGGCUCCAUUCCGAACCCGGAAGCUAAGCUGCUCAGCGCCGAUGGUACUGCAGGGGGGACCCUGUGGGAGAGUAGGUCGUCGCCGGAC
Molecule: ribosomal RNA, 117 nt
Filed under: Micropruina sp.
Lineage: Bacteria; Bacillati; Actinomycetota; Actinomycetes; Propionibacteriales; Nocardioidaceae
Source: RNAcentral